GCAAGUCGAGCGGAAACGAAAGUAGCUUGCUACUUUGCUGUCGAGCGGCGGACGGGUGAGUAAUGCCUAGAUAUCUGCCUAGUCGUGGGGGAUAACAGUUGGAAACGACUGCUAAUACCGCAUACGCCCUACGGGGGAAAGGAGGGGACCUUCGGGCCUCUCGCGUCAGGAUAUGCCUAGGUGGGAUUAGCUAGUUGGUGAGGUAAUGGCUCACCAAGGCGACGAUCCCUAGCUGGUCUGAGAGGAUGAUC
RNAcentral lists this ribosomal RNA (251 nucleotides) under uncultured bacterium. Its description in RNAcentral is "partial 16S ribosomal RNA". It matches the Rfam family "Bacterial small subunit ribosomal RNA", at positions 57 to 305 of the family's 1533-position model. The record is from RNAcentral.